RNAcentral lists this small nucleolar RNA (80 nucleotides) under Maudiozyma saulgeensis. Its description in RNAcentral is "Kazachstania saulgeensis Small nucleolar RNA snR78". It matches the Rfam family "Small nucleolar RNA snR78". Lineage: Eukaryota; Fungi; Ascomycota; Saccharomycetes; Saccharomycetales; Saccharomycetaceae. The record is from Rfam by way of RNAcentral.
ACCUUUGAUGACCAAAAUCAAAUUUUACAAACUAGAGUUUCUGAAUCAUUUAGUGAUUAGACGUUGAUAUAUAGCUGAGG